AUGCAUGUUAUCUUCCCAUUUGACGCUGAAGAAAAUAAUCUUCUAGCAUAUCGACAUAUAUCGACAUUGAGAUAUUGGAAUCUAUUAUUUUUCUCGAAUACGCACGAGUGUGCGUAUUAUAUAUUAAUAGAAGGAAAAGGAGGAAGAGCCCCAUCCGUGAAUAUUUACAUGGCGUUUACACAACGCGAUCCACCGUGGUCUCUAGGUGGAUUACUCACCGUGUACCCACCCAUCUACUCCUACACCUACAGGGAAAAUGUUAAGAUCAGCGUGCUCCAGAUCACACCCUCUGAUUCUAUCCUCCAUAGCACAUGUCGCACAUCCGGGCUUUUUCCAUCAAAUACAAUUGAAUUCCGAUGCUUUCACAACUCCCACGUAACCAAUACCUGGAUGGCAGGAGGUCUUGGCAUAUCUUCCAAUAUGUGUUGCGUGUGUGCUCCACGUCAAUAG
RNAcentral lists this ribosomal RNA (450 nucleotides) under Triticum aestivum (bread wheat). Its description in RNAcentral is "partial small subunit ribosomal RNA". The record is from RNAcentral. Lineage: Eukaryota; Viridiplantae; Streptophyta; Magnoliopsida; Poales; Poaceae.